GAUGAACGCUGGCGGCGUGCCUAAUACAUGCAAGUCGAGCGAACGGACGAGAAGCUUGCUUCUCUGAUGUUAGCGGCGGACGGGUGAGUAACACGUGGAUAACCUACCUAUAAGACUGGGAUAACUUCGGGAAACCGGAGCUAAUACCGGAUAAUAUUUUGAACCGCAUGGUUCAAAAGUGAAAGACGGUCUUGCUGUCACUUAUAGAUGGAUCCGCGCUGCAUUAGCUAGUUGGUAAGGUAACGGCUUAUCAAGGCAACGAUACAUAGCCGACCGGAGAGAGUGAUCGGCCACACUGGAACGGAGACACGGUCCAGACUCCUACGGGAGGCAGCAGUAGGGAAUCUUCCGCAAUAGGCGAAAGCCUGACGGAGCAACGCCGCGUGAGUGAUGAAGGUCUUCGGAUCGUAAAACUCUGUUAUUAGGGAAGAACAGAUGUGUAAGUAACUGUGCACAUCUUGACGGUACCUAAUCAGAAAGCCACGGCUAACUACGUG
Molecule: ribosomal RNA, 497 nt
Filed under: uncultured bacterium
Lineage: Bacteria
Description: partial 16S ribosomal RNA
Rfam family: Bacterial small subunit ribosomal RNA
Source: RNAcentral